CCGGACGGCGACCGGCGCACGGGUGAGUAACACGUAUGCGACCUGCCCGUAGCAGGGGGAUAAGCGGAAGAAAUUCCGUCUAAUACCGCGUAAUAUCUUUCGGGGGCAUUCCUGAGGGAUUAAAGGAAGCGAUUCCGGCUACGGAUGGGCAUGCGGCGCAUUAGCUAGUCGGCGGGGUAACGGUCCACCGAGGCGACGAUGCGUAGGGGUUCUGAGAGGAAGGUCCCCCACACUGGUACUGAGACACGGACCAGACUCCUACGGGAGGCAGCAG
RNAcentral lists this ribosomal RNA (274 nucleotides) under uncultured bacterium. Its description in RNAcentral is "partial 16S ribosomal RNA". It matches the Rfam family "Bacterial small subunit ribosomal RNA", at positions 84 to 354 of the family's 1533-position model. The record is from RNAcentral.